AACGAACGCUGGCGGCAUGCCUAACACAUGCAAGUCGAACGAGACCUUCGGGUCUAGUGGCGCACGGGUGCGUAACGCGUGGGAACCUGCCCUUAGGUUCGGAAUAACUCCCCGAAAGGGGUCCUAAUACCGGAUAAUGUCUUCGGACCAAAGAUUUAUCGCCUUUGGAUGGGCCCGCGUUGGAUUAGCUAGUUGGUAGUGUAAAAGCCUACCAAGGCGACGAUCCAUAGCUGGUCUGGGAGGAUGAUCAGCCACACUGGGACUGAGACACGGCCCAGACUCCUACGGGAGGGAGCAGUGGGGAAUACUAGACAAGGGGGGAAAGUCUGAUACAGCAAUGCCGGGGAAGAGAUGAAGGCCUUAGUGUUGUAAAGCUCUUUUACCCGGGAUGAUAAUGACGGUACCGGGAGAAUAAGCGCCGGCUAACUCCGUG
RNAcentral lists this ribosomal RNA (433 nucleotides) under uncultured bacterium. Its description in RNAcentral is "partial 16S ribosomal RNA". It matches the Rfam family "Bacterial small subunit ribosomal RNA", at positions 29 to 507 of the family's 1533-position model. The record is from RNAcentral.